RNAcentral lists this ribosomal RNA (327 nucleotides) under uncultured Streptococcus sp. Its description in RNAcentral is "bacterial SSU rRNA". It matches the Rfam family "Bacterial small subunit ribosomal RNA", at positions 1054 to 1382 of the family's 1533-position model. Lineage: Bacteria; Bacillati; Bacillota; Bacilli; Lactobacillales; Streptococcaceae. The record is from RNAcentral.
GUCAGCUCGUGUCGUGAGAUGUUGGGUUAAGUCCCGCAACGAGCGCAACCCCUAUUGUUAGUUGCCAUCAUUCAGUUGGGCACUCUAGCGAGACUGCCGGUAAUAAACCGGAGGAAGGUGGGGAUGACGUCAAAUCAUCAUGCCCCUUAUGACCUGGGCUACACACGUGCUACAAUGGUUGGUACAACGAGUUGCGAGUCGGUGACGGCGAGCUAAUCUCUUAAAGCCAAUCUCAGUUCGGAUUGUAGGCUGCAACUCGCCUACAUGAAGUCGGAAUCGCUAGUAAUCGCGGAUCAGCACGCCGCGGUGAAUACGUUCCCGGGCCUU